Molecule: ribosomal RNA, 253 nt
Filed under: uncultured bacterium
Lineage: Bacteria
Description: partial 16S ribosomal RNA
Rfam family: Bacterial small subunit ribosomal RNA
Source: RNAcentral
UACGGAGGGUGCGAACGUUAAUCGGAAUUACUGGGCGUAAAGCGCACGUAGGCGGCUUUGUAAGUUAGAGGUGAAAGCCCGGGGCUCAACUCCGGAACUGCCUUUAAGACUGCAUCGCUUGAAUCCGGGAGAGGUGAGUGGAAUUCCGAGUGUAGAGGUGAAAUUCGUAGAUAUUCGGAAGAACACCAGUGGCGAAGGCGGCUCACUGGACCGGUAUUGACGCUGAGGUGCGAAAGCGUGGGGAGCAAACAGG